This 207-nucleotide ribosomal RNA is filed under the name uncultured bacterium. RNAcentral describes it as "partial 16S ribosomal RNA". It matches the Rfam family "Bacterial small subunit ribosomal RNA", at positions 568 to 774 of the family's 1533-position model. The record is from RNAcentral.
CGCGUAGGCGGCUCGGUCAGUCAGGCGUGAAAUUCCUGGGCUUAACCUGGGGACUGCGCUUGAUACUGUCGAGCUUGAGGCCGAGAGAGGGUGGUGGAAUUCCCAGUGUAGAGGUGAAAUUCGUAGAUAUUGGGAAGAACACCGGUGGCGAAGGCGACCACCUGGCUCGGUUCUGACGCUGAGGCGCGACAGCGUGGGGAGCAAACA